Molecule: ribosomal RNA, 380 nt
Filed under: uncultured bacterium
Lineage: Bacteria
Description: bacterial SSU rRNA
Rfam family: Bacterial small subunit ribosomal RNA
Source: RNAcentral
GAUGAACGCUAGCGGCAGGCUUAACACAUGCAAGUCGAGGGGUAUAGUUCUUCGGAACUAGAGACCGGCGCACGGGUGCGUAACGCGUAUGCAAUCUACCUUUUGCAGAGGGAUAGCCCCAGAGAAAUUUGGAUUAAUACCUCAUAGUAUAGCAGUUUCGCAUGAAACCACUAUUAAAGUCACAACGGCAAAAGAUGAGCAUGCGUCCCAUUAGCUAGUUGGUAAGGUAACGGCUUACCAAGGCUACGAUGGGUAGGGGUCCUGAGAGGGAGAUCCCCCACACUGGUACUGAGACACGGACCAGACUCCUACGGGAGGCAGCAGUGAGGAAUAUUGGACAAUGGCGGCAAGCCUGAUCCAGCAAUGCCGCGUGCAGGAUG